GAGCUCACGGUGCAAAUGGAAAAGCACCAGACUCGUGAAGAAACAGCUGGGACAUAAUGUGCCAGCCCUGCCUCGAAUCCCGGGAAAAACCUGGGAGCCGUGGGGAGUCAGAAGCAGGGCAAAAAACACUGCGGCAGCUGCUCUGUAUCUGUGGCAAUAGAUGUGUUGGUUGGCUCCUGCACAAGACACCAGACGUGUAACAUCUGUGAGAUCAGGAGAGCAUCUGGAUCCUGUAACUACCAACAGAGAAGAACAUGACAGUGAUGAACCAACUCAUAUGCAACAAAACCAGUGACUUAAAGAAAGUAUAUGAAAUUAUAAGAAACAUCUAAAGUCUAAUUCAUUAUUUAAUUCAAAAAGGGAAUAACAUUUAAACGUAUACAUUAACCAUUCUUUGAGCUGGAGAAGAUAUCCAGAUGUGUCAAAGGACGCAUAAAGGACACAAAAAUUCUCAGUAUGUCCUUUUGCUGCAAAACGUUGGACGAGAGGGAUAUCAAAACGAUUAGUUCUGAUUUUGGAUCUAUGCUUGACUAAUCCUGAGCGCACUGCCAUGCCUGACAUCCCAAUAUGAUUUGGGUUUAUUUGCAAACACAUUCCAGCAAGUGUAUGCAAUCUUUUGUGUUGCAGGUUGUACAUCCUUUUAGUUUCCAUUUAAAAGAUAAGUUGGGAUGACUGUAUUCUUGAAUGUUCAUUGAAAGGAAAUAAAUCAAACAGUUCCUGCAG
Molecule: long non-coding RNA, 723 nt
Organism: Sphaerodactylus townsendi
Lineage: Eukaryota; Metazoa; Chordata; Lepidosauria; Squamata; Sphaerodactylidae
Exons: 3
Source: RefSeq, a predicted model, not a curated record